GUCCUUUUGAUAAUAAUUUAAGGUCUAACCUGCCCACUGAAUAUUUAAAUGGCCGCAGUAUUUUGACUGUGCAAAGGUAGCAUAAUCAUUAGUUUUUUAAUUGAAAGCUGGAAUGAAUGGUUGGAUAAGAAAAUUUCUGUCUCUAUUUAAUUUUUUUUAGAAUUUUAUAUUUAAGUUAAAAAGCUUAAAUAUAUUUAAAAGACGAGAAGACCCUAUAGAGUUUAAUAUAAUUAUAUUUAUAUUUUUAAAGAUUUAAAUUUAUAUACAUAUAAUUAUAUUUAAUUGGGGUGAUUAAAAAAUUAAAUAAACUUUUUUUUUAUAAUUACAUUGAUUUAUGAUUUAUUGAUCCAUUUUUUAUGAUUAAAAGAUUAAAUUACCUUAGGGAUAACAGCGUAAUUUUUUUGGAGAGUUCUAAUCGAUAAAAGAGAUUGCGACCUCGAUGUUGGAUUAAAAUUAAUAAUUGGUGUAGAAGCUAGUUAAUUAGGUCUGUUCGACCUUUAAAAUUUUACA
RNAcentral lists this ribosomal RNA (510 nucleotides) under Mycetaea subterranea. Its description in RNAcentral is "partial 16S ribosomal RNA". The stretch from base 384 to 510 matches the Rfam family "Archaeal large subunit ribosomal RNA", at positions 2542 to 2669 of the family's 2987-position model. Lineage: Eukaryota; Metazoa; Arthropoda; Insecta; Coleoptera; Endomychidae. The record is from RNAcentral.